AAGGAUCAUUAUAGAAUUAUAAGCGAGGGUUGUCGCUGGCCUUUCGGGGCAUGUGCACGCCCGAGCUCUUAAAUCCACAACACACCUGUGAACCCACCGUAGGCCUUCGGGCUUAUGUAUAUUUAUACUCUGUAUGUGUCAUAGAAUGUCCACGUUGCAUUAAAAACGCAAUAAAAUACAACUUUCAACAACGGAUCUCUUGGCUCUC
This 208-nucleotide unclassified non-coding RNA is filed under the name uncultured fungus. RNAcentral's name for it is "partial contains 18S rRNA, ITS1, 5.8S rRNA, ITS2 and 28S rRNA". Lineage: Eukaryota; Fungi. The record is from RNAcentral.